CUGCUGCCUUCCGUAGGAGUUUGGGCCGUGUCUCAGUCCCAAUGUGGCCGUCCACCCUCUCAGGCCGGCUACCGAUCGUCGCCUUGGUAGGCCGUUACCCUGCCAACCAGCUAAUCAGACGCGGGCCCAUCUCGCACCACCUGGGUUUUCAGGGCAGGGGCAUGCGCCCCCGCCCGCUAUGCGGUGUUAGCACCUAUUUCUAAGUGUUAUCCCCCAGUGCGAGGCAGGUUGCCCACGCGUUACUCACCCGUCCGCCACUGGGG
Molecule: ribosomal RNA, 263 nt
Filed under: uncultured bacterium
Lineage: Bacteria
Description: partial 16S ribosomal RNA
Source: RNAcentral